This 433-nucleotide ribosomal RNA is filed under the name uncultured bacterium. RNAcentral's name for it is "partial 16S ribosomal RNA". It matches the Rfam family "Bacterial small subunit ribosomal RNA", at positions 29 to 507 of the family's 1533-position model. The record is from RNAcentral.
AACGAACGCUGGCGGCAUGCCUAACACAUGCAAGUCGAACGAGACCUCCGGGACUAUUGGCGCACGGGUGCGUAACGCGUGGGAACCUGCCCUUAGGUUCGGAAUAACUCCCCGACAGGGGUGCUAAUACCGGAUAAUGUCUUCGGACCAAAGAUUUAUCGCCUUUGGAUGGGCCCGCGUUGGAUUAGCUAGUUGGUAGGGUAAAAGCCUACCAAGGCGACGAUCCAUAGCUGGUCUGAGAGGAUGAUCAGCCACACUGGGACUGAGACACGGCCCAGACUCCUACGGGAGGCAGCAGUGGGGAAUAUUGGACAAUGGGGGAAAGCCUGAUCCAGCAAUGCCGCGUGAGUGAUGAAGGCCUUAGGGAUGUAAAGCUCUAUUACCCGGGAUGAUAAUGACGGUACCGGGAGAAUAAGCCCCGGCUAACUCCGUG